This 332-nucleotide unclassified non-coding RNA is filed under the name soil metagenome. RNAcentral describes it as "partial contains 5.8S ribosomal RNA, internal transcribed spacer 2, and large subunit ribosomal RNA". The stretch from base 1 to 120 matches the Rfam family "5.8S ribosomal RNA", at positions 35 to 154 of the family's 154-position model. The record is from RNAcentral.
GAUGAAGAACGUAGCGAAAUGCGAUAAGUAAUGUGAAUUGCAGAAUUCAGUGAAUCAUCGAAUCUUUGAACGCACAUUGCGCCCGCCAGUAUUCUGGCGGGCAUGCCUGUUCGAGCGUCAUUUCAACCAUCAAGCCCCCGGCUUGUGUUGGGGACCUGCGGCUGCCGCAGGCCCUGAAAAGCAGUGGCGGGCUCGCUGUCACACCGAGCGUAGUAGCAUACAUCUCGCUCUGGGCGUGCUGCGGGUUCCGGCCGUUAAACCACCUUCAUAACCCAAGGUUGACCUCGGAUCAGGUAGGAAGACCCGCUGAACUUAAGCAUAUCAAUAAGCGA